RNAcentral lists this ribosomal RNA (171 nucleotides) under Sphyraena barracuda (great barracuda). RNAcentral's name for it is "partial 12S rRNA". The record is from RNAcentral. RNAcentral also lists the same sequence under 1 other name. Lineage: Eukaryota; Metazoa; Chordata; Actinopteri; Sphyraenidae.
CACCGCGGUUAUACGAGAGGCCCAAGUUGACAGACCGCGGCGUAAAGCGUGGUUAAGGAAAAACAAAAACUAAAGCCGAACGACCUCAAGGCUGUUAUACGCUUCCGAAGGUACGAAGCUCAAUCACGAAAGUGGCUUUAAUCCACACCUGACUCCACGAAAGCUGAGAAA